This 664-nucleotide long non-coding RNA is filed under the name Brassica napus (rape). RNAcentral's name for it is "long non-coding RNA (BNAP_LNC006813)". The record is from RNAcentral. Lineage: Eukaryota; Viridiplantae; Streptophyta; Magnoliopsida; Brassicales; Brassicaceae.
AAUUCAUAUAGAGAAAUUGUUACAAAUACCACAAGUUAAGUAUCACUUUUUAAAAAUAUCACCAAUAAAAAAUAUACACUAAUAUUUGGGUUUAGACUUUAGUGAUAACUGUUUAGGGUUUAGUAUUAAGGGGUUAGGAUUGGGUUUAUAAAUGUUCUAUAAAUAUUUUUUAAAAUUAACUUAGUGUUAUUUUAUCACAAAUUUAGGAUAUUUGUAAAAAUAGUCAUUCAUUAAUGAUAAAUUUGAAAAGUGAUAGAAUUGAAAUUUUCCCAUUCAUAUAUGUAAUAUUUAUUAUAAUUCCUAAUAAAAUAAUAAAGCCGUUUUAGAAGAAUUUUUAUAUCUAAAAGUACCGGAUUCAAUAAUGUUUACCUCAUUGCCUAUUUACAAAUAACAAAAUAUUAAUAAAUAUUUUAAACAUAUCAAUUAAUUAUAUAUUAGAACAUUGCAGAAAAUAGUUUGCUGAGUAAUUUGAUAGUUUAGCUGUAAUUUAUUAUUUAGUUUGUAUUUUUAAUUAUUAAUUAUUAUAAUUUUAUAUUUAUUAACUAAUAUUUUGUAAUAUGUUUUAAAUGUGUGUUUUAUAUUUAUAAGAGUUAAAUGAUCUUAGUCAACUUAUAACAUUAUUAAUCGAGGAUUAUAUUUAAAUUUUGUUAUUGGAGAUACCAAA